CUACGGGAUGCUGCAGUGAGGAAUAUUGCACAAUGGGGGGAACCCUGAUGCAGCAACGCCGCGUGGAGGAUGACGCAUUUCGGUGUGUAAACUCCUUUUAUAUGUCAAGAAAAUGACGGUAGCAUAUGAAUAAGCACCGGCUAACUCCGUGUCAGCAGCCGCGGUAAUACGGAGGGUGCAAGCGUUACUCGGAAUCACUGGGCGUAAAGGACGCGUAGGCGGGCUUGUAAGUCAGGUGUGAAAUCCUACAGCUUAACUGUAGAACUGCACUUGAAACUACGAGCCUAGAGUAUGGGAGGGGCAGAUGGAAUUAGUGGUGUAGGGGUAAAAUCCGUAGAUAUCACUAGGAAUACCGAAAGCGAAGGCGAUCUGCUGGAACAUUACUGACGCUAAGGCGUGAAAGCGUGGGGAGCAAACGGGAUUAGAUACCCCCGUAGUC
Molecule: ribosomal RNA, 439 nt
Filed under: uncultured bacterium
Lineage: Bacteria
Description: partial 16S ribosomal RNA
Rfam family: Bacterial small subunit ribosomal RNA
Source: RNAcentral